CUUAUACUACAGUAAUUGGUAUUAUGGUUAAUAAGCUUUGGUAAAGUUGCUCAAAAUGCUUUCCAUUUUCCUGUUGCUAUACAGUUUAAAUUCUUUUGCUAAAUCAAAUGUGGACAAGAAAGCUUAUGUUUUUUAUUCUUGCUGGUCACUUCGUGAGAUAUCUCUGGAACAUUCGAUCACUGAUUAGAAUGACAGCAUCUUCUGUAACAGAAAUGUCACAUUCAGCAAUUUCUUCUCUUUCUGUGUCUGAUGAAAAUAGUCUGUUCAAUACUGCUUCUACCAUAUUUUUUUGUUUUUAUGACUUGGCAGCAAGAAGGGUUCUUUCAAGUUAUUUCUUUUUCAAUACUCCAGCAUCUUCAAGAUAGCUUAUUACUCCAACAACAUUUAUAAUUAAAC
This 396-nucleotide long non-coding RNA is filed under the name Androctonus crassicauda. Lineage: Eukaryota; Metazoa; Arthropoda; Arachnida; Scorpiones; Buthidae. The record is from RNAcentral.